Molecule: transfer RNA, 65 nt
Filed under: Bemisia sp. PB-2004
Lineage: Eukaryota; Metazoa; Arthropoda; Insecta; Hemiptera; Aleyrodidae
Description: tRNA-Leu
Source: RNAcentral
AUUAAAUUAACAUAUUCAAUGUUCUAAAGUUAGAAUUUAGUCAAGUAAAAAAAUUACAUUUAAUA